Molecule: ribosomal RNA, 205 nt
Filed under: uncultured bacterium
Lineage: Bacteria
Description: partial 16S ribosomal RNA
Rfam family: Bacterial small subunit ribosomal RNA
Source: RNAcentral
GAUUGCAGUCUGCAACUCGACUGCAUGAAGUCGGAAUCGCUAGUAAUCGCGGAUCAGCAUGCCGCGGUGAAUACGUUCCCGGGCCUUGUACACACCGCCCGUCACACCAUGAGAGUCGGGAACACCCGAAGUCCGUAGCCUAACCGCAAGGAGGGCGCGGCCGAAGGUGGGUUCGAUAAUUGGGGUGAAGUCGUAACAAGGUAUC